This 1266-nucleotide long non-coding RNA is filed under the name Monodelphis domestica (gray short-tailed opossum). Its description in RNAcentral is "lncRNA (ENSMODG00000049559.1)". Lineage: Eukaryota; Metazoa; Chordata; Mammalia; Didelphimorphia; Didelphidae. The record is from RNAcentral.
GACAAAAAUUGAAAAGAGAGAGAGAGAGAGAGAGAAAGAGAGAGAGAGAGAGAGAGAGAGACAGAGACAGAGAGAGAGAGAGAGAGAGAGAGAGAGAGAGAGAGAGAGAGACAGACAGACAGACAGAGAGACAGAGAGAGAGAGAGAGAGAGAGAGAGAGAGAGAGAGAGAGAGAGAGAGAGAGAGAGAGAGAUCACACUGUGAUGGCCCCUGUUUUCUUAGUAAAGAAUGAAGGAAGGUCAAACCUGGAAAGGACUUGCACCUAGAUACGCUCUGAUUCUAUUAGACUACAACUGCCCCUUCAUUAAAAAAAAUAAUAGCUAGCCUUUAUAUAGUGCUUUAAGGUUUGCAAAACAUUGUACACAUGUUAAGUCAUUUGAUUCUCAUCACAACCCUGGGAAACAGGUGCCCCAUUUUAAAGAUGAAGCAGCUGAGGCACAGAAAGGAUAAAUGACACAAAUAGUCAAUGAGGUAGGAUUCAAAUUUACCUCUUCCUGAUUCUAAGUCCUGUGCUCUAUCCAUUGUAUCACCUGUAGAUCAAAUGACCCUCAUGACAAGACAUUAAAAGACAGUUACCCGUUUUUUUUUGUAGGAAUGGGGCGAGCAUUAUAAUAAUUUCAGACUUUUUAUAUAUGUUGGUAAUUUUGCCAAACCUCUAAAAAAUCUUUGUUAUUCUUUAUUCUAUGGGGUAGCUCUAGGGAGAUGACAAAGGAGGGAUACGUUGGGAAAUGUAGAUGAUAUAAAAACAAAAGAUAUCAAUAUAAACAUUUUUUAAAGUAUAGAAAUCAAUGAAUACUAGGACAGGAGAAGGGGAUCCCCAAAAUUCUACAAUUUUAAAUCUCGAUAUAUCUUAGAUGGCAUUUAGUCCAAUCCUCUUAUUUGAUAUUUAUUUACUUAAGACGCUCCAAAUUAUAGAAUGGAGAGAGGGUCAGAGCUGUAAGUAGUCUUCCUGAUUUUCUAGUCCAUUUCCUUCAUUUUACAGAGUAGGAUGCUGAGGCCCAGAGAGAGACAGCCACAUAGUUGGAGUUCCAGUCCUAUCUUUGAUAUUGACUCACUGUAUGACCUUGCCUGAAUUGCUUUCCUUCUCGACAUCCAUUUCCCCAUUUUACAAACGAGAGAUUUGAAAUUGAGGAUGCUCCUCACCUCUACCCCAGCUUGCAAUCUUAUGCCAGAAAAGGGUUUUAGAUGUGAUCAUUUAAACUUAUUUGAAUAGCUGAGUAUAGUACCUCUUACAAGUGAAAAGAUUUGGCUAGUAAAAAAGGUCUU